Molecule: non-coding RNA, 90 nt
Filed under: Chromobacterium sp. LK11
Lineage: Bacteria; Pseudomonadati; Pseudomonadota; Betaproteobacteria; Neisseriales; Chromobacteriaceae
Source: RNAcentral
UCCUAUGGCAGGCCGUGGCAGGAAGACCUUGAUGGUCUGCCGGUUCUCAGUGCGCCGGUUCGCUAACCCUGUCACGUGCCUGUUUUCCCC